UACGGAGGGUGCAAGCGUUAUCCGGAUUCACUGGGUUUAAAGGGUGCGUAGGUGGGUCUGUAAGUCAGUGGUGAAAUCUCCGUGCUUAACAUGGAAACUGCCAUUGAUACUAUAGGUCUUGAAUUUUCUGGAGGUCAGCGGAAUAUGUCAUGUAGCGGUGAAAUGCUUAGAUAUGACAUAGAACACCAACUGCGAAGGCAGCUGGCUACAGGGAUAUUGACACUGAGGCACGAAAGCGUGGGGAUCAAACAGG
Molecule: ribosomal RNA, 253 nt
Filed under: uncultured bacterium
Lineage: Bacteria
Description: partial 16S ribosomal RNA
Rfam family: Bacterial small subunit ribosomal RNA
Source: RNAcentral